UGAUCAGAUAUAUCUGGAGCUUGUAGCUCGGUUUAAGCGGCUAUGGCGACCGUCUCUGCGUCGUUCAGUACUUUAACAUGUUUAAGUUGUGUACCUCCGUUUGGUUUGCAGAAGAUUGAAGUGAAGACAGAGAAGAAGUGGCAGCCAUGUCGUGCUGUGAGGUCGCAGGAUAGUUCAAACUCGACAAAUUCAGGACGCAGCCAUAGGAAAGUGUGGCGGAGAAGAAAAUUGUCCAAAAGAGAUGCUAUGCUGGAUUACAAGACAGAAAGAGUUCCCUUUCUUGAGGAGCAGGUACGGAAGAUAAAGGAAACAGGAAAUAUCCUUACAAUGGACAUUGAGACACUGCUAUUAUCAGAAGAUAACAGGUAUGAAUUUGUGAAUGAAAUAGCAGCUGAAGCAAAGCGAUAUGUUGAGAACAAUCGAGAUGAAUAUGGUGGUGCAAAGAAAGCAAUCCUUCAUGUAAUCAGCAACCGGAUUAAUGAUGCUGGAAUAUAUCGCCCUGAUGCAUACAUUGAAGAUGAUCCUUUCAAGCCAGGUCCUGGAUACCUGAGGCAAGAACUUUAUGAUGCUUGAUUUGAGCAAAAGGAUGACUUCAUAGCUUGUUUAUCCAUGAAUGGUCUCUGAACCACUGAGUCUGUAGUGGAGAUGGAAAGCUGCAAUAUUGUUGACUUACUGUAUCGCGCAACAAAGAUCUGUAGCAGAAGCGACAGUCUCAUGACAAUCGAUGUCAGCAUUAUUAUAGCAAAUCUGCCAGAAAAGCAAAUGAAAAGUGGAUACGGAACCUCAUCAAGCGAGUUGAGAGGAUGCAUUCUGUCGCCCGAGCUCUUAACCAUGCCUGCCAAAAGAGGAACAGAUCAAUCCUGGAGAGACAGAUAUGGACAGUGGCCUACUCAAUGAAAUCAAUGUGACUGAUUUCUUAAGAGCCAUUAUUGAGAGCACUACAAAAAAGGUACAAAACAAAAACUAUCUUCUUACGUGCUGAAAAAAAAUCAUUUAUGUUUUAAUGAUUCAUUAUGGCGUAGAUUAGUCAGUCACGCAGGCUUCUUGUUUUCCCACAAUAAUUCUUGAUAUGCUGGGGUAUUUUGAAUUUGAACUUCUGUCUUUGGAUGUUUUGAAUAUAUAGUGGUUUUGGAAAGAUAUUUGAAUAUAAACUUGGUGUUUGACCUUACAUUUUUAAGGUCAAACAAUUAAUCUAAUAAAAUAAAAUAACUUCAAUUUAGGAAUACUUGCUCUCUUUCUGUUUUAGUUUCUUUUUACUAUGCACGCUAUUUCUAUUACAAAGUAUCAUAACUCAAUGAUCAUUUAAACACAUAAUAUGAACAUAUCCUUUAUGUCAUUCUUGUUAAGAACUUGUAACUUUUCCUUUUAAUAGUACAAUUUCUAUUAUUCAAACUUAUUUUCACUUUCCCCUUUUGAUUUUGAUUGUCAUCCAAUUUAUUCCUGUUUCUAUUUUUAGUAAAAGGAUAUUCUUUUUCUAUUUUUCCUUUUAUCAUAAAAAAAAAAAAUUAUUUUUAUGUUUACCCAUUUUCCUUUAAACUUGUGCUCAGUCCGUACGGAGGGAGUAGUAAUAAAUACUUAGAAAAAUCACUAUCAUGCAAUAUGAGUACGAUACUUCAAUUAUAAAUAGUGGGGAUAAGAUGGAUGCAACAAAUAGGGUGUUUCCAUGUUGAAGAAAAGUAAGUGACAAGAGCACCAUACAGCAAGAGAUAGGAAUAGCAAUAGCAAUAGCAAAUAGCAAUGGAAAUCACUAUAACACUGUUACAAUUGUGGCACAGUCUGUAUCUUUGGUAUGCUGACCUGAUCAAAGACUUUCCUAUUUUUUUUGCACCACAAAAAAAUAUGAAAUAUUAUUAUUCAUUCCCCUUUUUAAGGUUUCAUUAAAGUGGGAUUGCGUUUUCUUAGUGAAAACGAGCAGAGAACUUUAGUCUUUAGCAGUACCCUGUUUAGCACAUCCUCAAAACUUACCAAAUUAGAUAUAUAUAUGACACACAUACAUAUAACAAACCCAAAUGACCAAAUCACAUAAAGUUACAAAUUGGAAUAGCAAACAGUAUAUAUGCAUUUAUAGGGAAAUUUUAAGAUAUACCACAAGGCCACAAAAAAUACACUGCCUCUGUACAUCUCAAAACUAUAAUCCCGUUAAACGGUAAGAUCAUAUCCUACCAAUAGCAAGACCCGAUUGGGAAAAUCCGGGAAAAAAAAAUGCAUAAAAGACUCCGUUUUAUAAUAUGCACAAAAGAAAGAAAAAUAAAGGCAGCGACGAC
Molecule: RNA transcript, 2264 nt
Organism: Andrographis paniculata
Lineage: Eukaryota; Viridiplantae; Streptophyta; Magnoliopsida; Lamiales; Acanthaceae
Gene name: protein PLASTID TRANSCRIPTIONALLY ACTIVE 7
Exons: 7
Source: RefSeq, a predicted model, not a curated record